Molecule: long non-coding RNA, 1375 nt
Filed under: Neogale vison (American mink)
Lineage: Eukaryota; Metazoa; Chordata; Mammalia; Carnivora; Mustelidae
Description: Neovison vison (American mink) lncRNA (ENSNVIG00000022128.1)
Source: RNAcentral
GCAGAGGCUUAACCCACUGAGCCACCCAGGUACCCCAAAACUGAAUAGUUUUGAAGAGCAACCCUCCUAAUAAUUGCCUUUCAUGUAUGCAGCCAUUACAAAAUAUGCAGCUUGAUUGAUGGUUAUUUAUAAAUUAGUGUGGGGUAAUACGCUUGGUGGGGGGACAUAAGUCACUGUGGAAGAUGAACUUAGAGUCUCCAGUGUUGGAAAUGGACUGAUUCCACCAUGUCCCGGCACAGUUUAAAGCCAGAGGGAUCGGUAUUAAACACACAGUGAAGCUUUUGUGCUGUGAGGUGGUUAGUUUUCAAAGCAGAAGUCCACAUGUGAGUGUGACCGUUUUCAGACAGACUUGAGUGCCUACCCUAGGAGAUGUCACAGGCCGGCAAGUACAGGAGGCCUCGCCUCGCUGGGUCUGAGCCCUCGGGUGGGGGUAGGGGGGCCCGCAGCACACCCUUUGAACCCAGGUUGAGGGGGUGUUUGCUUUGCAGAGGCUCUUGGUGCAGAACUCUGGCACACCACGAGUGUACCUGUUGGUGAGGGCCGUGGCUUUCCUUCGUUUUAGGUUGGGGUUGUGCCACUGUGAGCUGCCAGCAGUGUUUAGGGCUCCCGAUCACGCACAGACCUGCCUCUGAGAGCGUAAAGGAGUCUUGGGUUGGAUCCAGCUUCCGCAGUGGGCAGGCUUAGCAGGCCAAGAGCAGUCCCGCAGCUGACGGAGAAAGAAGGCUCCGGUCCUCGGGGCACCUGCCGCCACCGUUCCCUGGGCUGCUCUCAGCCACCUGGGCCAGUGGACUCCUCACCCCGAUGUCCUCCAGAAACCCACCAAGGUGGCUGGUUCAGGAUCCUAGAAGCACACUAUUCAGAGAAACAGGACACCACCGGAGGACUAAACUGAGUAACACCGAAGGACAGUCUUUGCGUGGAGACCGCCUGGGUUUGAAUCCCGGUUCCGCUGAAGAGCUGUGUGACCUUGAGCAGAGCCUCUCAGUCUCUUCCUCUGUAAGAUGUGCAGAAGGAGAGCCUCCGUUCCACGUUCUUAGGAGGCUUACAUGAGUUGAACGAGUGAGUAUUUGUAAACUUCUUAGGCUAGUGCUUGCCAUAUAGUUCCUACAGACCUUGACACCGGUUGUCAGUCUUCUUUCUGGGCCCGGAGUCCAAAAUACGACAGGCCGAGGGCCAAAUCCAUCCCACUGGCUGGUUUUCUCCCUAAACUCCAUUUAGACUUGUCUGUUCACAUUAUUGUCCUGGGCUGUUUUGGCGCCUCAACGGCAAGAGCUGAAGAGUUGCGACAGACACCUUACAGGUCACAGAGCCAAAAAUACGGACUGUCCUAUCCUUUACAGGAAGCACUUGGCUGCCCUCCUCUCCUAGAGCAUGU